This 450-nucleotide ribosomal RNA is filed under the name uncultured bacterium. Its description in RNAcentral is "bacterial SSU rRNA". It matches the Rfam family "Bacterial small subunit ribosomal RNA", at positions 354 to 796 of the family's 1533-position model. The record is from RNAcentral.
GUGGGGAAUAUUGGACAAUGGGCGAAAGCCUGAUCCAGCCAUGCCGCGUGUGUGAAGAAGGUCUUCGGAUUGUAAAGCACUUUAAGUUGGGAGGAAGGGCAGUAAGUUAAUACCUUGCUGUUUUGACGUUACCAACAGAAUAAGCACCGGCUAACUUCGUGCCAGCAGCCGCGGUAAUACGAAGGGUGCAAGCGUUAAUCGGAAUUACUGGGCGUAAAGCGCGCGUAGGUGGUUCAGCAAGUUGAAGGUGAAAUCCCCGGGCUCAACCUGGGAACUGCCUCCAAAACUACUGAGCUAGAGUACGGUAGAGGGUAGUGGAAUUUCCUGUGUAGCGGUGAAAUGCGUAGAUAUAGGAAGGAACACCAGUGGCGAAGGCGACUACCUGGACUGAUACUGACACUGAGGUGCGAAAGCGUGGGGAGCAAACGGGAUUAGAAACCCGAGUAGUCC